This 71-nucleotide transfer RNA is filed under the name Rhodovulum euryhalinum. It matches the Rfam family "tRNA". Rfam says of the family: Transfer RNA (tRNA) molecules are approximately 80 nucleotides in length. Their secondary structure includes four short double-helical elements and three loops (D, anti-codon, and T loops). Further hydrogen bonds mediate the characteristic L-shaped molecular structure. tRNAs have two regions of fundamental functional importance: the anti-codon, which is responsible for specific mRNA codon recognition, and the 3' end, to which the tRNAs corresponding amino acid is attached (by aminoacyl-tRNA synthetases). tRNAs cope with the degeneracy of the genetic code in two manners: having more than one tRNA (with a specific anti-codon) for a particular amino acid; and 'wobble' base-pairing, i.e. permitting non-standard base-pairing at the 3rd anti-codon position. The record is from Rfam by way of RNAcentral. RNAcentral also lists the same sequence under 2 other names. Lineage: Bacteria; Pseudomonadati; Pseudomonadota; Alphaproteobacteria; Rhodobacterales; Paracoccaceae.
GGCGAGUUGGCGGAGUGGUUACGCAGCGGAUUGCAAAUCCGUGUACGCCGGUUCGAUUCCGGCACUCGCCU